GAAAUGUGCAAACUGAACUUCUUUUUCUGCCUGAAAAAUGAAUAUUUAAAUCUUUUAAUCUGGACCUGGCAUCUCCUUUCAAUUAAAAAAAUUGGAAAUGCAGAGUAUUCACAUUUUCUAUCUUUAUUUUGCAAGAUUUAUGACCACAAUAUCCACUGUUCCUAUAAAUUUUAACAUAACUUCAUCAACUGAUAUGAAAACACUAUUGUUAUCAAGAACUGUAUGUGUUACAACAUAAUGGUUGACUUGCUUGGUUUGUGGGAAGAGGGAGAUGAAAGCACACUGAAUAUGCACCACCAGUAUACAUCAUGGUGCUCAGAAAUAAGAUAUAGUUGUGGAUAUAGAACUCCAGAUCAACAAUUCCUGCUUUAAAAAGAAAACCAAGUCCCAUGUGCAACGUGAGAACUUCACCAACCGCUGAGACAAUGAGACAGACAACAUUAAAGAGUCCUUAGCAUUCAAAUUGAAAAACAUUCCAGUAUUCCAAAAAUAAGAAAUCAAACAGAGAAACCACAAUAAUACAAACAAUAUCAAUGUCUACUGUUAAUCAGUAAGUUUAUUUGUAUGCAGGCUAUUUUUUAAGUUAGACCCAUUCUGAAUGUAGCUUGAAGUUUCAAGUGCACUUGAGAAGGAAUGUACGUGCAGGUUGCUGGGAUUCUUUGUGCAAAAUCCAAUACAUGUAUAUUCAGGAUGUCAGUUUGUAUGCUUUAGUCCAAGAUUAAAAUGUUUAGGAAAAUUGAACACCCUGCCAACUGAGUAAUCUGGUUCUUAACAGCAUGAAAUAUGAAAGCUGCAGAUAUUCAUCACCAUAUGUGUGAAGUAGACAUGACAAUGCAACGAGUGCAGUUAAAUGCAAAAAUGGAUGAUACUGUUCAAGGAAAACUGGAACAGAUGGAGAAGUGAACACGACUAUCACAGGCAGCAAUGUCCUAAGAAAAGAAUAUCCAAAACCCUUAGUAUUUGUUACAAUAAAUGUUUAAACUUCUGAAAACAUUACUUAGAAAAAUACAGAAUUGUCUGUAAAUUCAGAAAACAAACAGUUUUUUUUUAAUGUUUUGAUUGUUUUGUUUUUAUUUCAAAAUGGAUCUUAAAAAAUAACCCUUGUAUUUGAUAUUGUAAAAAUUUUACUUACAUAUCAUGGUGUUAUAUUCAAUCUCAAAA
Stegodyphus dumicola is the source of this 1161-nucleotide long non-coding RNA. RefSeq lists it as uncharacterized. NCBI's taxonomy places the organism in Eukaryota, Metazoa, Arthropoda, Arachnida, Araneae, Eresidae. The record is from RefSeq and is a predicted model, not a curated record.